RNAcentral lists this ribosomal RNA (114 nucleotides) under Coxiella sp. DG_40. The record is from RNAcentral. Lineage: Bacteria; Pseudomonadati; Pseudomonadota; Gammaproteobacteria; Legionellales; Coxiellaceae.
CCUGGUAGCUAUAGCGAGCGGGUACCACCUGAUCCCAUUUCGAACUCAGAAGUGAAAACGCUCUGCGCUGAUGCUAGUGUGGGUAUCCCAUGCGAAAGUAGGACACUGCCAGGA